GGGGGAAGCGGUACUAGAAAGCUGCAGAUAGUCAUUUUAGAAGCGGAUGGUCACAAGGGCUGGGAGAGGGCAAGAGAUCCCCUCUCUGCCUCCAUGCCCCCUCCAUGCCAAAAGAAUGGCGUGAAUGAUGCUCUCACGUGACUGGAGGACGUCAACCUUUUUUUUUUGUGCCCAUUUUAUCCAGAAUUGUUAAAUGAACUUCUCCCCCCACACCAUGCCCUCCCCUCCUCCCCAGCACUGAAUGCCCUCAACUUUGCGAGUGACCAAGAGUCUGUCGCUUUCCCCCAUCUCCUGAGCUAUUUCCCUCGAGCUUUUCUUGCUCUUUUUGGUCUUGUGCGCGUGUGCGCGCGCGUGCAUGUAUGUGCGUGUGCAUGUGUGUGUUGUGCGUGUGCAUGCAUGUGUGUAUAUGUGCGUGUUGUGUGUGUGUCUGAAAUCCUCAGAGCAGAAGAGGUAAAGAAACUGGACACGCGAUCGCCACUGCCCUAGCCUCGCAGAGACCCAGCUCCGAGCCCAGACGGUGGAAGAGGAGGAGAAAAGAGCUGGUGAGGAUGGGAAGACUUCUCUGCUGGCUCCCUGCUCGGAGCCGCCGCAGCCUCUGGGAGCCGCUCCUCUGAACCAGCCCCUGAUAACCUGCUGCCCAGCUCCAGCCGGCCGAGGGGGCGGAGGGCCGUUCACACCCACGCGCCGGCCUGUAACCGAGUGGAUUUACAAGCUGAGCCCUAUGGCAGCCGCCUGGGCCCCUGCAAGGAGGGCGCGUGUUGCUUUGGACGGGGCUCUGCCUUCUGCUCUUGCUCAUGGGCUAACCAGUUCCCAAGGACUUCAGGAAGAAAGAAGCGGAGGCGGAUCGGACGCUGCAAGAGCUGAACCGAAGCGAGGAAAUUAAGGAGAAGAAAAGAAACUACUUUAUUGUACCUCGGUGGAUCUUGAUGACAGCUUUGUCGGACGGACUUUUUCCCCCCCCAAAGAUGCUUUGAUUUUUGGACUCACUGGAUUCCAACGGAACUGUCUUGACGUGAAGAAAAAUAGAGACCCUUCUUCCUAAACAGCUUUAAGUGUUGCAAGAAUACAGCCCCCUUUCCAGAAAGCGCAGAGAUACUGGGAAACGGGGUGGGGGGGGGGAAAGAAUACGUACUUGAUUUCCCCUUUGAAAAAAAAAUACACCCCCCACCCCGGUCCCACAUCCCUGGUAUCUAUAUGGAAAGCUGUUUCUCUUUAUAAAGACUUAAAAUGUUGCAAGACGGGUCUAAUACUGAGUGACAAGCGGUGGUGGAGAGAGAGAGGAACCAAAUGGAUUCUGGUUUUUAAAGGCCACUAGGAACUGGCCAGUCUUCAAUGUCAGGAUUCAAAAUUGAUUCCAUAUGUCUCGUCCAAAAAAAAAUCAAAGUUAAGCAAAACCUAGCGGAUUCCUUUCUUUCUGCCUUUUUUUCUUUUCUUUUCUUUUUUUUUUCUUUUGGGUGCUUAGAUGUGAUCCUAUCAAAUAUAUGUAUAUUGCAAUUAACAUGGCUGACUUUUGUGUCUAAUCACAGAGGUAAGAGGUGGAAAAGUUGCAGCAGCCCCAGACACAAGGCUGCAUUUAGCAUGCAGUGAAUGGAGUUUCCCUGAAGUUGCAAACAGGGCUUAUGUAUGGUGAUGAGGAAAGGGGUGAAGUUUGCCAGAACGUGGGUCGGCAGAAAAAAUAGGGGAAACUCUCCUGAAUGCGGGGUGAAUGGGAGAAUUGUUUUGGGGGAGAUUGCCAUUGACUGCCAUAGGUGGUGCGGCUGCUGUUGGGUAGCACUGAAUGUGGACGUGUUGCGGGGAUGAAGGAGGGCAAAGGAGCCGGGUUGAUUUUCACCAGAGAACAGACCUCCGGCUAUUUCACCUUCCACCACCUCCCUCGGGGCUUAAAGGGGGACGCUGGACACCCCCAAAGAUGCCAUGGUGGAAAUGUGGAGAAACCUGCCCCUAAGCACUUAAUGUUCUCUCUGACCUCGCAGCGCCUUUGCUCAUAGCACUCAGGCAGAUUUUUGUUUGAAUUUAACUUAAAAAAAGAAAGAUUAAAUAUUAUGGAGUGAGAAUCCUCCCCCCACCCCUUCCCCUUUACAGCUAUCUUGGGGGGGUGGGAGAAGAACAACCCAACCUGAACAUCGCUUCUGAUUUAUGGCUUUGCUUUUCUGAAAUAGCUUCUGAUUUGGUCAGUGGCAAUCGAGUGUUGAAAUGUGGUUUUACACCCGUCUCCCCUCCCCCCAGCAAAUAAACUUCAAAGGAGACGUCAUUCUUUCCAACUUUGGCCUAUUUCACAGAAAAGCAACAAGCACUCCUUUCCUUUUGUCCUGGCUGGAAAAAAAAGGUGGGGGGAAGCUCCUUUCUUUCUGCAGCAGUAGUUCUGCCUCAGCUCCCGCUACAGUUCUUUGCAGUCCUGGAGGCCUCUAUAGCAGUGAUUUGUUUGGGGCGUGAAUUUAUUCUGCCUGUGUUUUCGCCUGCUGAGAUUUGUUAAAAUAACGGAAUCAAUGUAAUGCCGUUUUUCUGUGCAAACGUGAAUUCCUUUCCCAAACUACGGCCAUGUAUUUCUAAUGAAGUUAUAAUUUCGGUCCCUUUAAAAUAUAUAUACAUAGGUGUGUGCGUGCGUGUGUGUAUAAAUACAUAUGUAUGCAUACAUGUAUACGCGUGUGUAUUAUUCGUCGGAAUAAAGGCAGUAUCUCUUCCUGGUACCUGUUUUAAUCAGCUAAGGGUCGGCAGGGGUGAGCACUGCCUGGGCAUUUCUCCUAGCUGAGCGGUCACCAGAAUUACUUGCUCUCCUACUGAGCCCGCGUGUUCAGAUCUACAGGUUUGUGCAUUGUCUUCCAGCAUCGCCUGGCGCUGCUGCUGGUCUCCUCGCCUUGCAACUCCAAAGGGUCUCCCCUACUAUAUUUCUUUGAUCUUAAAUAACUCUCUCUCACAGCCUGCAAUAAAUUAUGAACUAAGGUGAUGUUGACUUAUAUUUACUACCUUAAUAGCUUCCUCUUUGGGAAAGAUAUGGCAUAUGCGUUUGCGCGAGAGGGGGAGAGGGAGAAAGGAAGGGGCAUUCUUUGCAAACUGUGUGGGAUAAACACUGAUUCUUAAGGCUGAUAGAUCAAAAACUUCUGGAAAUGUGAGAGACAAGAAGGAAAGGCUUAUUGCAAAGGAAUUAAUAAAACAAUAGUGGCCAGAGCUAGGUUUUCUUAAGCAAAGAGAUCAAUAUCUCAUCAAAUAUUUUGAAUAUUAUUCAGAUCAUUUAUGACCAUAACACAAGGCACAAUCUUCCAGCCCUCUAGUACCUGACUUGUUCCCUUUUGAGCCAAUUGAUAAAGAGAUACAUCCAGGGAAAACCUAAUAAUAAUAAUAACGAUUUGCACAUUAUUUUUAGUUGGUGCGAAAGAACUCAGGCUGCAAAGUUAUUAUAUUACCUGAUCGAUAAAUAACCAGUUCAUGAAGGCAAAUGGGGAAAUACGUGGUCGUUGGUAGGGCUGGAGUGCUGUUGUAGCCAUAAUGGGCCAGGGAGCAGGGAUCUUGGGAAGUUACCACGAGCAAGGCUGGGGAGAUGGGUGCUAUUGUCUGCAGGGGAAAGGAUGUCCCAGCCCCUCGCGGUCUCAACUAAAGGAAACAAUGAGAAAGCCGCGGGCUGCCCAAAUCUGAGCGAAACAACCCCUUUUCCUUGUGUUACGUCAUCCGAGGUUAAAUAUUCGCUAACAUCGCAGAGAACAGGGGGCAACCCCCCCCCACCCCAAAACCCAGACCCUAUUGCCGGAGGUUACAGGUAGGGGAUGUAUCGAAGUGUUUCAAUAGCUGCAACUUCCAGUGGAAGCCGAGAAGCAGGGGCUGGGGAGGGGGGGAUUUCUCAGCAUCAAGCCUUGGACUUGAUGCUGAGAAGUCAUCGAGAUCUAAACCAAUCUCCCACCCUGGCUCCUUCCUCACCAGUUUAGAUCCCGCUGCUGGGCUUGAUCCCCAAGCCAAUCUCUGCAUCCCAUCCGUCACAACCUGGUGUCUCUUUCUCUAGAGGAACCAAGUGGAGAGACAAAACGAAGUGUCACCUGAAAAGGGGGCUCCCAACCAUCCUCGCCCCACAUGAAACCCAAAGGCUUCAGGGAAGGUGUGCAUGUGUGUGUGCCUAUAUACAUAAAGUAUUGGGACGUCUCUAAUGGCUUUGGAGGGGGAAGUGAGGAGAAAAGGCGACUCAUCGUCAGCCAAGAGGCAAAAAAAAAAAAAUGUUUGCCACAUGGAGCUAUUCAGCGGGCUCUCGUUACCGCUGACAUCUGACUUCUUUAAGGCAGGCAUUCACACAAAGGCGUCGGGAACCGCGUCCAAAGACGCUGGCUAUUGAGUUAGACCCACUCGUUCCCCUCCUCCCUGAAAAAAUAAGUGGGCAACAUCACUGUGAAGCCAAGGAUCUGAAGGCAUAAGAGCUUGACAGAGAAGGAUGCUGCAUUUCUGGCUUCUUUGCCGUCCCUGGAUCUCCCUUAAUAUUUAAUGAAAGUCACCGAGCUGAGCACGUUUUGCUACAUAAAGGUUUACACUAGCCGACAGCGUUAAAUAGCUGCGUCCCCGGCUGGGGUGAGCCGGGAGGGCGAGAAGGGAGAGGAAGUGAAGAAGUGCGGAGGAUUCACACGGGAGAAUCCGGCGCGACCAUUUAAUCUCCGCGCCUGUUGUCAGUUUUAUUGACUCCUCGCGUGUUUUGGCUUGUAAAAAUGUUUAAAAGUGACAUCUCCCACUUCCUCCCUUCCUUUCAGCGCCCCACCGACUUGGGCAAGUUUUAUGAAGGAAAUUCAGGAGGAGCUGAGUCCUGCUCUUUCAGGAGCUGCCAAGGGGGCAUUUUCUCCCCCUGUGCCCGCAUGCGUUUGGAACAGGCUUUGAUGGGGACACAGGCUCGAAACGAUCAGACUGCUGAAGAAUGCCCAGACCAUUGUUCCAGGACCUGAAUCUACCUACUGGACUUUGGGAACACAGGCAGCCUCACCUAUUGUUCAGCCCUCCAUUGGCAAAGUAACUUCAUCCUCUUCUGUGAUCAAGUAUUGUCCCUACUUAAGAGGCAAACAGUAAAUUUUUGCACUCUCACAACAAUUUAAUUUUGAAUCUGAAAUGUGGUUAGUUAUUUGAUUUUCUGUUCAGUCGGUUUACAACGGGGCUCAACCAAGCACUGUCUUUUAAAAGAAAAGCCAUCAACCUGUGCUGUUAUUCCAAUGAGGCAUUCUCGUUCUUGUGAGCAGGGGUAGGGAGAAUCGGUGAAAAAUGAGUUAUGGCUGGUUAAGGGAUGCUGAGAUACAAAACUCCUAGCUGUAAUUUUUAUAUUAAGGUCGUGGUCUUUUACUAGGUUUAUAUGCCAAUGAGGCGUUCCCGGUUUACCAAAUUUAUACAAAUCUCUCCUUAAUUGGUAAUCACAGAUGCUGUAAUUUAAGACCCCCAGCUAUAGAGCCUUCAUAUUAGCUGCUGAUCUAUUACUGUAAAUCGUCUGAAAUAAUCAACUCCAGGGAGUGGAGUAGAGAGAACGAUCCCCGCUCUAAAAUAUCAUCGCUUCCACAUCAUUUUCACUUGAGAAAUGAUUUAUCUUGGACACCGCCAUAAACAACACAACUCUCUCACAAACACACACACAAUGGCAGCCGCAGUGCUGCUGACAUGCUUAUUGUAAUAAAUCAAGAAAGGGGGAAAAAAGAGGUUGUGAGGAGAGCGAGAGAGCGAGAGGAAUAUUCCUAAAAAUAUCAAUGAAAUGCCUCGAUGGGUAUAAACACACAUACCACCAUGUGAAGAGAAAUGGGAGGAAAUGAAGACGGCUAUUUGUCACAUUUUACGACAAUAACAUUAAUAACAAACAAUAAAUUUACAUGGACAUAUAGACACGCUAGGAAUUGGGAAGCCCCCGCUACUUACAAUAAUCCAGCCCUCGGCGUGGCUUCUUGCUUCCUGAGAAUUGUUUUAUUGCAGACUUCUCUCUCUCUCUC
Molecule: long non-coding RNA, 5930 nt
Organism: Alligator sinensis (Chinese alligator)
Lineage: Eukaryota; Metazoa; Chordata; Crocodylia; Alligatoridae
Exons: 3
Source: RefSeq, a predicted model, not a curated record